GACGAACGCUGGCGGCGUGCUUAACACAUGCAAGUCGAACGGAAAGGCCCUGCUUUUGUGGGGUGCUCGAGUGGCGAACGGGUGAGUAACACGUGAGUAACCUGCCCUUGACUUUGGGAUAACUUCAGGAAACUGGGGCUAAUACCGGAUAGGAGCUCCUGCUGCAUGGUGGGGGUUGGAAAGUUUCGGCGGUUGGGGAUGGACUCGCGGCUUAUCAGCUUGUUGGUGGGGUUGUGGCUUACCAAGGCUUUGACGGGUAGCCGGCCUGGGAGGGUGACCGGCCACAUUGGGACUGAGAUACGGCCCAGACUCCUACGGGAGGCAGCAGUGGGGAAUAUUGCACAAUGGGCGGAAGCCUGAUGCAGCAACGCCGCGUGCGGGAUGACGGCCUUCGGGUUGUAAACCGCUUUCGCCUGUGACGAAGCGUGAGUGACGGUAAUGGGUAAAGAAGCACCGGCUAACUACGUG
This 468-nucleotide ribosomal RNA is filed under the name uncultured bacterium. RNAcentral describes it as "partial 16S ribosomal RNA". It matches the Rfam family "Bacterial small subunit ribosomal RNA", at positions 28 to 507 of the family's 1533-position model. The record is from RNAcentral.